GAAUCCCUGCUGUGUUUGUGAUGCGAUCUGAAGUUUUGAGCCAACACUUGAUUUAAGAGGAACCGUACUCUGGUAGAGGGGAUGCAAUCGCCUGCGGGCCUGCAGAACUGAAAGGGCGGUUCCCACCUGCGAAUGCAGGUUCAAAACCUGAGAGCACACGGCACAGCGGGGCUUUG
This 176-nucleotide non-coding RNA is filed under the name Anaerolineae bacterium. Its description in RNAcentral is "6S RNA". It matches the Rfam family "6S / SsrS RNA". From Rfam's summary of the family: E. coli 6S RNA was the first non coding RNA to be sequenced, but its function was unknown until recently. It consists of 184 nucleotides that fold into an extended hairpin structure with a large single-stranded internal bulge. The record is from RNAcentral. Lineage: Bacteria; Bacillati; Chloroflexota; Anaerolineae.